This 103-nucleotide microRNA precursor is filed under the name Marmota monax (woodchuck). Lineage: Eukaryota; Metazoa; Chordata; Mammalia; Rodentia; Sciuridae. The record is from RNAcentral.
AGUGGGAUAACUGGGUCAAAUGGUGGUUCUAUUUCAAGUUUUCUAAGGAAUCUCCAUACUGAUUUCCAUAGUGGUUGCACCAGUUUGCAGUCCCAUUAGCAAU